This 18-nucleotide small RNA is filed under the name Arabidopsis thaliana (thale cress). RNAcentral describes it as "ATSL076750". Lineage: Eukaryota; Viridiplantae; Streptophyta; Magnoliopsida; Brassicales; Brassicaceae. The record is from RNAcentral.
AGUCAUCGUCUUCGUUAU